Molecule: long non-coding RNA, 1633 nt
Organism: Takifugu rubripes (torafugu)
Lineage: Eukaryota; Metazoa; Chordata; Actinopteri; Tetraodontiformes; Tetraodontidae
Source: Ensembl
CGACGACAUGCGGCUAAACAUCUCCUCGCUGGCCAGAUUGGGGAGGGGACCAGAGGAUGCUCCGGAGUCCCACAUCGUUUUUGCGUAGUUACACACCGACUCUAUGUUAAUUUUGGUGACCUCGGACUGACGAAGCCUGGUGUCGUUGGCUCCGACGUGAAUAAAAACUUUACCAAAUUUACGUUUACGUCUCGCCAGGAGCUUUAAAUUGGCUUCUAUGUCGCCCGCUCCGGCCCCCGGAAUGCUCUUAACUAUGGUCGCUGGAGUCGGCUUCACGGAGCGCAAAACAGAGUCGCCAAUUACCAGGGUCGGUUUCUCAGCGGGUGUGUCGCCGAGUGGGGAAAACGAUGAGCCACGGGAAGCGGGUGGUGGGGCACCGUGGGCCUUUGUUUGGGCUCCGCUUCCUGCGAACCGUCUCCCAGCCGCCCUGGCGAGCCGCCUGCUGCCGGGGGGCCGCUAGCUGAAGCUACGCUAGGCGGCUCCGCAGCAGCUAGCUUCUCCUGGCUACCUGACGCAACUCCAGCUAACUCCAAGCUGCGGAACCGCGUCUCAAGCUCGCUAAGUCUCGCCUCCAUAGCCAUCAAUGAAAUCAAAGGAUCAAACCGAACUGGCAGAUCAAACACAUCAGCUCUACCUCAUCAGCACACGCCUGAGGAGCUCAACACUCUUGUACCACACUGGUGACCAGCAGACGCAUCAAUGGCACAGAGAGGAACUCAGCAGCUGAAGGCAGAGCAAGAAUCAUCAAUGGAGACUUGGAGGGAAGAGGUCCAGCAUCUCAGAGAAGCCCUGGCUGAGAAGGAGGAGCAGCUCAGCAGGGUAGUGAAGAGGCGACAAAUGAGAACUGUGGCCCAUGUGGAGGCCCUGACCCUGCUGAACAGCACACAAGCUGCUCUGAAGGAGAGCGAGCUGAAAUGUGCUUCUCUGGAGGAAACCCUCCACAGCCAGCAGCAGGAGAACGAGGAGACACGCAGGAGAGAGCUGAUGGAGCAGGAGGAAGGCCUGAAUCAGAAGCUCCUGGUGAUUGAGGAGGAAUUUGAGAGGAAGCUGAAGGAAGAAAGGCAAAGAUCUCAUGAAGAGAAAGAGGCCAUGAGGCAGCAGCUCUUUCUGGAAGAAAAAAAGUUCCAGGAACUUCUUGAUGAAGAGCAACAAAAAUAUCAUGAGAAGAUCCUGCAAAAAGAAGAGUUGAUGAAGCAGCAGCUGGUGGUUAAAGAAGAGAACUUUAACAGGAUGCUGGCUGAUGUUCAUCAGCGGUGGGAGAGGACCGCUCAGACAUGGGUCCAGAUGAACGAAGAGCUGGAGCACAAGAUCAACGAGAGCCAAUGUUUCAGGACACAUGAGGAGGCAAAGAACAAAGAGGAGCUCCAGAGGCUCUCUGAAGCGAUCCUCCAACUUGAGCUUCAAGUAUCAAAGAAGCAGAAGAAAAGAAGCUUCUGUGGAUGGAUCUGGAAAAAGAUGAAGUUCUGGAAAAAAUGAAUUAAACAACAAUUCCAGAGCUCCUCCUCUUCCUCCUUCUCUACAUCCUGACCUCCAGCGUCACAUCCUGUCCUCAACAGUUUUAUUUUACAGUAUAAUUAUUGUUAUUUUCAUUUGGAUUUUUGAUGUAGAAACAAUAAAACUCAAAGUAAACCAC